GUGCACAGGCUCAUCAUUCUGAUGCCUGAGUCUCCAGCCCCUCUCCCAUAAAGACAGGGGAAAAAUCUGGAGACAUAAGCAUUUUCCAAAUUCAAGAUACGUGAAUCAUGCCCAGCUUGGAUGAAUCGGGGUAUGUAAGAUGGCGCAGCACUCCUGUCAUUCCAGUGUUCAGCUACCCUGAGGGAGGCAGGGAAUUUUGAUCAGCAUCCAAAGAAUCACCUCAUCUCUCCCUGCAGAGAGCACAGAGCACAAGACUUCAUGUUCCAUCAGAUUGACUAUCUUACGGAAAGCGGGCAAUAAACAAAUGGACACCACAGAAAACAAGGGCUUGUUUAAUCUACUGGAGGUGGACUGCUUCGGAACAAAAUAUUGCAGAGAAGUCCAAUUCAUAGGCAGGGGCCUUCUCAGAGUGUGACAAAUUGUCCUUGAGAUGGAGAGACUUUGAUGGUGCUAAUGGAAAUCAAAUGGCCA
Mirounga angustirostris (Northern elephant seal) is the source of this 471-nucleotide long non-coding RNA. RefSeq lists it as uncharacterized. The record is from RefSeq and is a predicted model, not a curated record. The transcript is spliced from 4 exons. NCBI's taxonomy places the organism in Eukaryota, Metazoa, Chordata, Mammalia, Carnivora, Phocidae.